RNAcentral lists this long non-coding RNA (594 nucleotides) under Trifolium pratense (red clover). RNAcentral's name for it is "long non-coding RNA (TPRA_LNC002937)". The record is from RNAcentral. Lineage: Eukaryota; Viridiplantae; Streptophyta; Magnoliopsida; Fabales; Fabaceae.
GCCCCUCAUCAAAUUAGAUAUUGACUUAUGGUAUCUACACAAUAAAUUACCUUUCAUGAUAUUUAUGCUUUUAGCCAUAGACUUAUUAUUCAUUAUUAAUUAGACCACUGAUACUUUGGCUAAUUACAUAAUGGCCCUAACACAUGUAAUAUUACUAUUGUGACCCAAAAAUCCUAACAAUCUCCCACUGGUCACAUAUGUAAUUUUACACAUGUGUUAGACUUUAUGAGCUCAAAAUUUGCCAUUAUAUUCCUUAAGCAUAUCCAAAUUAUCUCGUCCAUUAGUCAUGCCAAUAUAUAGAACUAAUGUGAUUUUCGUUAUAUCAAUCAUAACUAAACCCAUCAAUGAUCACCAAUAGUGACACAACUAAAUGACAUAGAUCUAUCAUGAAAUGUGUUGCAUGAAAAUCACAUGAAGUUGGUCUGUAUAUGUCGAUUUUCAACUGGUCCUCCUUAGUCCUUAGUGAGAUCAAACCUUAACCAAAGUCAGAGUGUAAAAAUACCAAAACUUUAUUUCUGCAAAAAAUAUUCUUAACUCUUAAUUGAACUGAAGUAUGUCUAUAUCAUAAAAGCAUUAAAAAUAACAAACUCCCAC